Molecule: long non-coding RNA, 288 nt
Organism: Suncus etruscus (white-toothed pygmy shrew)
Lineage: Eukaryota; Metazoa; Chordata; Mammalia; Eulipotyphla; Soricidae
Exons: 4
Source: RefSeq, a predicted model, not a curated record
CUCAGGGGUCUCACUUCGUGCCACAUGCCUUCUCUGCACGCCAUCUACUGGACAGUGAGAGAAGUGCCUCUUCACUGGGAGCCCUGCUCUGGGAGCAGCUCUCAAUACCGGGUGAGGCACCGAGCACUUGAGCUAUUUCAGCCACAUGAAAAGCAUCGGGAUUGAGAUCACAGCUCGGAGGACACUGGCCGUCCUUUCCACCUUCUGAGGAGCCUUUAUUUCUGCACCUGACCGUCCAGGACUCUCCUCAGACAGUAAACAGAUCCAUAAAGCAGGCCUAAAACCGAG